ACCUCUGUAGCCCAGUUGGUUAGAGCGCUGCACCGGAAUCGCAGGGCCGUGGGUUCAGUUCCUACCAGAGGAC
This 73-nucleotide transfer RNA is filed under the name Paramuricea clavata. It matches the Rfam family "tRNA". From Rfam's summary of the family: Transfer RNA (tRNA) molecules are approximately 80 nucleotides in length. Their secondary structure includes four short double-helical elements and three loops (D, anti-codon, and T loops). Further hydrogen bonds mediate the characteristic L-shaped molecular structure. tRNAs have two regions of fundamental functional importance: the anti-codon, which is responsible for specific mRNA codon recognition, and the 3' end, to which the tRNAs corresponding amino acid is attached (by aminoacyl-tRNA synthetases). tRNAs cope with the degeneracy of the genetic code in two manners: having more than one tRNA (with a specific anti-codon) for a particular amino acid; and 'wobble' base-pairing, i.e. permitting non-standard base-pairing at the 3rd anti-codon position. Lineage: Eukaryota; Metazoa; Cnidaria; Anthozoa; Malacalcyonacea; Plexauridae. The record is from Rfam by way of RNAcentral.